UACGAAGGUGGCAAGCGUUGUUCGGAUUUACUGGGCGUACAGGGAGCGUAGGCGGUUCGGUAAGCCCUUUGUGAAAUCUCCAGGCUUAACCUGGAAAAGGCGGAGGAGACUGCCGGGCUAGAGGGCGGGAGAGGAGCGCGGAAUUCCCGGUGUAGAGGUGAAAUGCGUAGAGAUCGGGAGGAAGGCCGGUGGCGAAGGCGGCGCUCUGGAACGUUUCUGACGCUGAGGCUCGAAAGCGUGGGGAGCAAACAGG
This 253-nucleotide ribosomal RNA is filed under the name uncultured bacterium. RNAcentral's name for it is "partial 16S ribosomal RNA". It matches the Rfam family "Bacterial small subunit ribosomal RNA", at positions 524 to 776 of the family's 1533-position model. The record is from RNAcentral.